This 263-nucleotide ribosomal RNA is filed under the name uncultured Enterococcaceae bacterium. Its description in RNAcentral is "partial 16S ribosomal RNA". It matches the Rfam family "Bacterial small subunit ribosomal RNA", at positions 524 to 785 of the family's 1533-position model. The record is from RNAcentral. Lineage: Bacteria; Bacillati; Bacillota; Bacilli; Lactobacillales; Enterococcaceae.
UACGUAGGUGGCAAGCGUUGUCCGGAUUUAUUGGGCGUAAAGCGAGCGCAGGCGGUUUCUUAAGUCUGAUGUGAAAGCCCCCGGCUCAACCGGGGAGGGUCAUUGGAAACUGGGAGACUUGAGUGCAGAAGAGGAGAGUGGAAUUCCAUGUGUAGCGGUGAAAUGCGUAGAUAUAUGGAGGAACACCAGUGGCGAAGGCGGCUCUCUGGUCUNGUAACUGACGCUGAGGCUCGAAAGCGUGGGGAACAAACAGGAUUAGAUAC